Molecule: ribosomal RNA, 475 nt
Filed under: Babesia venatorum (nom. ined.)
Lineage: Eukaryota; Apicomplexa; Aconoidasida; Piroplasmida; Babesiidae
Description: SSU rRNA
Rfam family: Eukaryotic small subunit ribosomal RNA
Source: RNAcentral
AUGAUGGUGACCUAAACCCUCACCAGAGUAACAAUUGGAGGGCAAGUCUGGUGCCAGCAGCCGCGGUAAUUCCAGCUCCAAUAGCGUAUAUUAAACUUGUUGCAGUUAAAAAGCUCGUAGUUGAAUUUCUGCGUUAUCGAGUUAUUGACUCUUGUCUUUAAUCGAUUUCGCUUUUGGGAUUUAUCCCUUUUUACUUUGAGAAAAUUAGAGUGUUUCAAGCAGACUUUUGUCUUGAAUACUUCAGCAUGGAAUAAUAGAGUAGGACUUUGGUUCUAUUUUGUUGGUUUUUGAACCUUAGUAAUGGUUAAUAGGAACGGUUGGGGGCAUUCGUAUUUAACUGUCAGAGGUGAAAUUCUUAGAUUUGUUAAAGACGAACUACUGCGAAAGCAUUUGCCAAGGACGUUUCCAUUAAUCAAGAACGAAAGUUAGGGGAUCGAAGACGAUCAGAUACCGUCGUAGUCCUAACCAUAAACUA